GACGAACGCUGGCGGCGUGCUUAACACAUGCAAGUCGAGCGGUAAGGCCCUUUCGGGGUACGACGAGCGGCGAACGGGUGAGUAACACGUGGGUGACCUCGCCCUCCAGCUCUGGGAGUAAGCCUGGGAAACGUAGGGUCUAAUACUGGAUAUGACUCCACGGUGCAUGUCGUGGGGUGGAAAGCCUUGUGCGGCUGAGGAUGGGCCCGCGCCUAUCAGCUUGUUGGUGGGGUGAGGCCUACCAAGGCGACGACGGGUAGCCGGCCUGAGAGGGCGACCGGCCACACUGGGACUGAGACACGGGCCCAGACUCCUACGGGAGGCAGCAGUGGGGAAUCUUGCGCAAUGGGCGAAAGCCUGACGCAGCGACGCCGCGUGAGGGAUGACGGCCUGGUGUAA
RNAcentral lists this ribosomal RNA (399 nucleotides) under uncultured bacterium. RNAcentral's name for it is "bacterial SSU rRNA". It matches the Rfam family "Bacterial small subunit ribosomal RNA", at positions 28 to 428 of the family's 1533-position model. The record is from RNAcentral.